UCCUGAAUCACACUUGGCUCCCCCUGCCUGGAACGCUUUUUCCCUGCACACCCCUCCCCCGCGCCUCUUCAUUCUUAGGGGUCUACCAGACCUCCACUUCAGCCACACCUCUUCAGGAAGCUUUCCCUCAUCCCCGCACCCCCACCCCACAUACCAAGUAUGACGGCCUUGGCUCUCCCUAAGUCGGAGUGCCUUGGGGGAGGGCCCCGUGGGUUGUUCCCCGUUGUCUCCCUGUGGGGGGUGCACAGUACAUGCCUUAGGGUCGUGGAAAGGCUGACUUCUGGGCGGCAGGUGGCUCUGGAGGACGUCUUCCCAGGGAUCCCGAGGGAGGGAAGAAUGGGGCACAGCCACAGUGACUCUCCCCCUGCCUUUCAGCUACGUGUGGGAGCACCUGGACGUGGGGUAUGUGCAGGGCAUGUGCGAUCUGCUGGCGCCUCUCCUGGUCACCCUCGACAAUGAUCAGCUGGCCUACAGCUGCUUCAGCCACCUCAUGAAGAGGAUGAGCCAGAACUUCCCCAACGGGGGUGCCAUGGACACCCACUUUGCCAACAUGCGCUCCCUCAUCCAGAUCCUGGACUCAGAGCUGUUUGAGCUGAUGCAUCAGAAUGGAGACUACACCCACUUCUACUUCUGUUAUCGCUGGUUCCUGCUGGAUUUUAAGAGAGAACUGCUGUAUGAGGAUGUGUUUGCUGUGUGGGAGGUCAUCUGGGCAGCCAGGCACAUCUCAUCGGAGCACUUUGUCCUGUUCAUCGCCCUCGCCCUGGUGGAGGCCUACCGAGAGAUCAUCCGUGACAACAACAUGGACUUCACUGACAUCAUCAAGUUUUUCAAUGAACGUGCUGAGCAUCACGAUGCCCAGGAGAUCCUGCGGAUUGCCCGGGACCUCGUCCACAAGGUGCAGAUGCUCAUAGAGAACAAGUGAGCUGGGGCCAGGAGGCAGCAGCCACGCAGAGCCUGGGCUCCGGCAGGGAGAGGUGCAGGGGAGUCACCGCCCAGACCUCCCCAGCCACCAACCGACCCCACCUCUGUUCCUAACAAAGCGGUUGUGAGCCUGGAUCCGACUCCUGGCAGUGCUGACCCUGCAGGGCAAAUCAGGGGCCAGGAUGCCCUCGGAUCAGGGCCGGGAUGGGAGGGGUCAGCCUCAGGGAGCAGCUGCCUUGGGGGACACACCUACUCUGCUCCCCUCUCACACAUCUGGGAGUAGCCCCACUGCCACCUGCAGCCUCAGCCUGGACUGCUGCCCAUGAGUGAACCUGGGGCCCCACAGGAUUAACAGGGGCUAUAGUGGCCUGGGCCCUACUCAGCUGGGGUGGCAGAGGGCAAGAGGCUCUGUGCUGUGUCCCUUCUGAGGGUCCCUUUGCAGUCCCAGUAUAUUGUGCGUGCACCAGCCCCAGCUGGAGCAACCAGAACUGCUUCCGGUUUAGGCACACGUCCCGGGUGCGGGAGACCCGGGCGCGGGAGACCCGGGCCGCCUUCAGGCCGCUCCCCCGAGAUUCUGGGGCAGUCGGAAGAUGUGGGCCCUGGGUGGGAACAGCCCACUUCAGCAGCACUGCCACCGCCUUUGGCCACCUGAGGUGACCCCCAGGCCUCCCCGGCCCUGUACAGUGUACCUCUGUGUAUCUGUACGGCCUCGCUCCUGCCACCCCACCCUCGCGUUCUGCAUUAGGUACUUCCCUGAAAACCACGUGUAAGUAAGUGAUGCUUUUGCCAGUGGAUGAUCUGGCAUGCGACCGGAGCACUUGCUCUGAGGAAUCCCAGGGUGACUGUGUCGGGGAGCAAUCCGGUCACAGCCUCCCCUCAGAGACAGGCCUCAGUUCUAGGGCAGCCCAUUAUCUGUCGCAGACAUCAUCUGCCAUGUCCCUGAGACUGCGGGAGGCAGGGGAUGCAUGGGUGUCCCCAUCUGUCCCUGGUGAGAAGCAAGGCUAGCUCUGCCUUCCACAUGCUUCUCAGGAUGCCAAGAGGCCUAGGAACCCAGAAACCGCCUUGGAGGAGCUGUGUACACGGGGGUGCCAGGAAGGGCAUAGCUCCUGCCCCCAGGCCUAGGCAUGCUGCUUGCUCGGCCAUCCCCACUUCCUCCUCUACCCCAACACAUGCAGGCUAGGCCUUGCCCUGGAACGUGGAGGCCCUGCCCGGGGCUGGGGCCUGUCCAGCAGCCACCAAAGUCUGGCAGAUUUUCUGCAUUUGAGAAACAUGACAAAGGGCCUCGCAGCCCUUCUGCACCCAGCACAGCCUGCCCAGCCCAGCCCUGCCCCCGGGCACUGCACAGCCUGUCUGGGGGCCAGACCACCCCAUUGUCCAUGCUUGUUGUCCAUGAGUCCUUGGCCUCCACCAAGCAUGUGUGGCCAUUGUGUGCCUGCCUUAGUGACUCCGUGGUUUUGUGAGGAGCAGAGUGUGUAUGAUUUUUGCCUCAGAAACUAUACUCUUCUGUGUAACAGACCAAUAAACAGCAUUUGUC
Molecule: small RNA, 2455 nt
Filed under: Pan troglodytes (chimpanzee)
Lineage: Eukaryota; Metazoa; Chordata; Mammalia; Primates; Hominidae
Description: retained intron
Source: RNAcentral